RNAcentral lists this ribosomal RNA (372 nucleotides) under uncultured organism. RNAcentral's name for it is "bacterial SSU rRNA". It matches the Rfam family "Bacterial small subunit ribosomal RNA", at positions 526 to 896 of the family's 1533-position model. The record is from RNAcentral.
CAGAGGUUGCAAACGUUGUUCGGAAUUACUGGGCAUAAAGCGCACGUAGGCGGUUCGUUAAGUCAUGUGUGAAAUCCCCCGGCUCAACCGGGGAAUUGCGCCUGAUACUGGCGAGCUAGAGAUCGAUAGGGGUGAGUGGAACUCCAGGUGGAGCGGUGAAAUGCGUAGAUAUCUGGAGGAACACCGGUGGCGAAAGCGGCUCACUGGAUCGAUACUGACGCUGAGGUGCGAAAGCUAGGGUAGCAAACGGGAUUAGAUACCCCGGUAGUCCUAGCCGUAAACGAUGGGCACUGGGCAGGGGAGGUUCCUAUGCCUUCUCUGCCGUAGCUAAUGUGUUAAGUGCCCCGCCUGGGGAGUACGCUCGCAAGGGUA